AAUAAGUGCAGUUUUGUACUAUUCAUAUUUAACGUUUGACCGUUCGUCUUAUUUGAAAAUUUUUUAUGAUUAGUAUUUUUAUUAUGAUAAAAUAUGAAUAGUACUUUAUGUGUGACUAAAUAUUUUUAAAUUUUUCACAAAUUUUUCAAAUAAGAUGGACGGUCAAAUGUUGGACACGGAUAUCUAUGACUGCACUUAUU
Molecule: microRNA precursor, 200 nt
Organism: Oryza rufipogon (brownbeard rice)
Lineage: Eukaryota; Viridiplantae; Streptophyta; Magnoliopsida; Poales; Poaceae
Rfam family: MIR812 microRNA precursor family
Source: Rfam